This is a long non-coding RNA of Hylaeus volcanicus, 4055 nucleotides long. RefSeq lists it as uncharacterized. The record is from RefSeq and is a predicted model, not a curated record. The transcript has 3 exons. NCBI's taxonomy places the organism in Eukaryota, Metazoa, Arthropoda, Insecta, Hymenoptera, Colletidae.
ACGGUGUGCAACUUCCGGUUGCGAAAACGAACUCCGCGGACCGCUGGAGUGUAAUCUCUUCGGAACGAAACUAAGACUCUCUGCUUUUACUUGUUCCUUCGAUCGAGCGAGUAGUCCUCGCAAGUGACAUCACAGUCUAUACACCCAGCGAGAUGUACUCGAUGACAGGAAUUCAGGGGGCGACUGUUCGUUCACACGAUGGGAAGAUUUUGAAUUCACGAGGUUGAGAAAUUCGUUUUCGACGCACCACGAAUCGCUAAGGACGGGAACGCACGUAUCUCGACUGGAAGACGAACAACGGUCCGUCGCGACGAGCAUUCGCGAGCAACCGCAACACACUGAGCCGCUUGAGCGAGGAAGACGAGGCUAUGAGGCGCGGACAAACGACGUCGGGACGACGCCGCGUCUUCGUCGGCUUCGUGGGCGCGCGCCUCCGCUCUGGCUGCGUCACGGCGCCUGCUCGCUCAGGGUACUACGUGUUCGAUGAGUAAAAACCCAUCCGGGAAGGGGUAGGGAGCAGGGGCGCGAUUUGCAGGCCGGUUAUUACGUACGAUUCUCUAGGCGUCGAGUAAUUGCGGGAAGAGAAUAUCGUUCGGUCGCCGUAAAAGGAUCGAUAGAGGGUGCCGAGUCACGACGACCACGUGAAAUUUUCGCCAUGAAAUUACGAGGAUCGAUACUGGAAAACGGGGUGCGCGUUGCACCCUGAAAUAUAUGUUUACUUUCGUGAGUUUCGUUGAAAUAUUUUCAAGCUUCCUUCUAAUCAAGCCUGGAGAACACCCUUCCGGUUCGCGAUUUCGAAAAACGACCGAAACUGACCUGCGUAGCCAGGUUUAUUUUUCUUCUAGGCGAAUACCAUACACAAUAGUAAUUGCAUCCGAUAUGGAAAACUGCAAGAUCUCGAUACACAAGUGACAAAUUCUGCGAUCAUGUAAAUUACCUUUUUAUACAGCAAUCGUUUCAUAUCGACUUCCGAGCUUCAAUCGAAGAAUCAAUGUAUAAUGCAUAAUACUUUUUUUUUUUAUGAAGAAAAAUGCGUUCUUAAAGUGGGAAGUACGUGGGUUGUACUUAUGCAAAUUUUGAAAAAGUUGUUAUCGGCAAUGCUUGAGCAAAAAGUUUAUGCAGAAACGUUAGUGUUGCGGUAUUCUAGCUUGGAGGACUUAUUUCUCUCUCUUUUUAAGAAGGCUGACUAAAUCGAAUCGAUUAAAAAAUCAAUUCAAGCUGAACACACGGACUAUUUAAUUACACGUGUACUAAAUGUGUGCAAGGACAUAAUGGAGGCACAAGAGCGUAACUAAGAACCUGCGUAAUUAGAAACCGCGUAACUCGAGGACUCGUUAUGCAUUUCUAACUCGGAAUUCUCUGAAUCGUUGUCGGACUGCGUGGUACACAUUUCAUGCAAGAAUAUUCAGAAAUGUGGCUAUUUUUAAACCGAGCCACGCGUUUAAUUUCACGGCGUUGACUAAUCACGGAAACAUUGUUUCUAUAUCCGCGAAAGGAUAGAUAAGUAUAUUUUGAUUUUGUCGAAUCACAAUACGAAAAUGUACAAUCGAAUACGAGAAUAAUUUAGGAAUACCUAUCACUCGGUAACUAAUCGAUACACAACUACUAACUCGAAUGACAUAUAGCAAUGUCACGACAGAAAUGUCGUCUAGAUAUUUAAAGAGAAUCGAUGCGAGAUUAGGUAAUCUUUUGGUAAAGUUUAGAGUUCUGGCUGGAUGAUGUGUUCCAGUUUCACGUGGAAUGUAUUGUUUCGAUAGCUUCAUACUAAAUUCUGUCACGCUUUCUCAAUUCUGUGUCAGUUCGUUUUGUUCUAUUGUCGUACCAACGUGACUACCAGUCAAUUGUCGUCGACGAUUAUUAUUCUGCGUUAUCACGAUGCCAUCGAAACCACGCAAUUCUGACUACCAAGAAACGUUCAAAGAUACUGGAAUUUAUACGUUGUUACUGUUUUACUAAUCGAUUUGCUUUUUUUUAUUAUCACGAGGUCAAGCUACUGUUUUCCCGUAUUUAUUAUCGAUGUAAUGGAAUAGAAAGAGGGUUUUAAACAAAUAUCAACGUACGUACUGUUCGAAGUGCUUUGUGUCGGAAACGAUAAAGUAGGUAUGAAGCGAUAAAAAUAGUAAUUUUCAGAAUCGUUACUUUAAUCGCGAGCACGCGUCAAACCUCGAACGUCAUGUGUUCCAUCGUAUCCAUGAUUUCACAACCGUGGCCUUCAUUAGAGCGGAUUCAAGGCACUCCUUUGACGAAAUAACUAACUUUGAACAGUAGUUCGUUGAAAUCGUGAAUUUAAGACGCGCCUCGAGUCCACUCCGAAACGAAAUGGCUUUCUAAUGUUUAUUGAUGAACACGUUUAGUGUUUCUAUCGCGGUAUCGUAAAGGUCGAUGUCUCGGAAUAUGUAGAAUUGUUCGAAUCGACCCCGUGUAAUUGCCUAGCGUCCACUUUUAGCGCGAAAUAUAUAUGAGGAAACUCGUGGUUAAACGGCGCCAGAUGCUUCCGUCAUCAGCAGAUGUCAAAACUAAUGUUUACUGGAACUUUUGCGUGAAACAAACGACGAACAUCCGGUGCGAGCGACGUACGAACAUUUUGAAAAACGGCUCGUUGCAAGUGGAAAUCACAGCCAUUUGUCCUGUGGGCGUAUCGUUUCUCUCUAGGUUGAACAAACAAACCAAUCAUAGAAACUGUUCCUUAAAUUUCGCUCUGACUUCAUCGCUAUAAAACGCUUCGGCGUAGAAAAUCUUCGAUAAACCACGCGCUUAUCAUCUCUAACAUGACAAGUCACGAUUAACGCGUACGCUUUCGUACAUUUGGCACCCGAGAAGUUCUGAACCGGGUUCAGCGAAAUAUUAUUGUGAAGUGCUUUACUAUCAUUGAUAGAAUCUAUUUUGUUAUGAGACAUUGGGUCGUUAUAGUUUAUUUUUGUUCGCGUUGCGCUAUUUUCGAGACAUGUAGACGAGCCACGAGCGUCGAAAGGUUACGAGGUCAUUUCGAUCGAUGACAUUACAGAUGAGGUCUCCCUAUAUAAAGGUCGCCGAUUGAAAUUUGUGUCCCGCCAGCACCGCCAUGAAAGUUGACGACCAAUUCGAAUGAAGUUUCAGAAGGAGACGAUGAACGAUCGUCGACCAUGUUUGCUCGAAAGACGGCCCCUCGCCUUUCAAGGAAGAUAAAUCUUUGAAAACUUUACGAGUCGUUUUUGCGACUGAAGAUUCCAGGAGACACUUGGAUUGGUACGCUCAUAAUUUGUAUACUUUGCAAAAGAUGGAGUUUCCAUUCUACGAUUAGAGAGUCUCUCGAGAUCUCCAUGCGUCCGUUUGCAUAACCCAAUUGGUUACGACACGUUGUCUGAGAAGCCAUGUCUGAUAUACUGUUCAUUUGUAAGAAAGUGGUGAAUACGGGCAACGUGACCGUUGCGUAUAGUUUAAAAAGCUCCUGUAAAAAUGUAGAUACCGCUCGAAAAGUACGUAACACUAAUUUGCACCCCCUACUCAAAUUAGUCCAAACUAAAUUCCUGUUGAAAGCUAACUCCGCAGGAAAAUCACUAUAAAUGCAAGGAUGACGACGUGGUUUUCCUAAUAUAGUAAAUAUAAAUUAUAAAUGCAAAUUUGGUCAUUUAAAGAUCUCGUUAAAGGGAAGAAAAAAUUAUCUUUAAACGUUUGCAUGGAAAUUAACUGCUCGAAGAUAUCAGCGUUGUAAUUAGACCACCAGUCUUCAUACGAUUCUACGUAUAAUUUUUUAUACGAUUAAAGCAUACCACACGUAACACGCAACGCUUCUCGUAACAAGUAUUCGGAAUUAUCGCAAUUCAUUUAAAUGCAGGCUUGCACGUGUGGCAGGUGACGUUUACAAGCGCAACAAAUCAAAUAAGCAGAACUGAACAUGUAAACUACGCGUAGCUUUACAAUAUACUGCUCAUUUAUAUAGAUUACAAUAUCUCUGAAAUAAUUAAUCUCCAUCCAUAAGUUUAAUAGAUCAUUUUUUAUCUUCUUUAACGAGUUUUAUGUAACGUUUGUACUUGUAAUUCGUAGCUAUCUUGUAUAAUAUACACGAGUCACGAUUU